Eleginops maclovinus (Patagonian blennie) is the source of this 2082-nucleotide long non-coding RNA. RefSeq lists it as uncharacterized. The record is from RefSeq and is a predicted model, not a curated record. NCBI's taxonomy places the organism in Eukaryota, Metazoa, Chordata, Actinopteri, Perciformes, Eleginopidae. The transcript is spliced from 3 exons.
GUGGUAAGGUCAGUGUAUACUCCAGUUACACUGAGUGAACUGACUGACAUGAUCUUAUUUUGUAGCAGUGCAAGCCAGGACAUGACUGCACUAAUGUUCAGGCUGGAAAGUCUUGACUGAGUCAUAAAAGUACACAGAGAUAACUUAGGGGGAGAGAAAGAAAGAAAGAAUGUGGGACGGAAGGAAUUGUUCCCUUGUUAGUUUGAAAGCACCUGGACAAAGACAUUUUCCAAACAAAAUAUAAAUCAUAUAUAAAUGUAAACACCUACUAUGUAAUACUUUCUCCAACUACAAAUGAGCAACUACAAAGAAACCUCACUCAGGGCCCGCGUGGUCCAGGGAGAGUCAAAGCACUUCCCAAGGAUUGUAACAAAGAUUUCAAUCUUGGAAGAUGUCCCAGGGAACUUGAACCAGAAGCUGCUUGCUACCAUGAAGAUCAUGGUGUGGAUCACAACGAGCUCCGGAUGUGGCUGCAGUCAAUGGCUUCAGGCGUGGGGCUGGUGAAGUGGCUGGGCAGGCAUGCAAUCUUGUCUUGAGUGAGCUGCGGAUGAAAUAUUAAUAAAAUAAUUAAUAACAUGGAGGGACAGAUGAAGGGGGAGGGAAAAUAAUAAUACUUCUACUGAUUUAACAACUUUUUUUCCUUUUCAAACAUUUGAUCUAAUAUAAGAAACCUUGUGCAACAUGGACUUCAGAUGAGAAAUGGCCUUUUGUCUAAUUCUGACAUUUUCCAUACUUGGUGUACUUAUUAUAAUUUGUACUACAAAUAUAAAGAACAGAAUGUGUGACAAUGUAAUUUGCUCUUUAACAGUCCGUUACAUUGUGGAAAAAAUGACGUACAUAACUACUUAAGGAUAAUAAGAUUUAUUUGUGUUCAGAAUUUCUUUAAACAGAAACAAAUGUGUUAAAAAAUGAGCUCAUUGAUAUUCACUAACAGUUAAAAACAAUAGUGCUACAUGACAACCAGCGCAACAGUGUUUUAUAUAUUACGUUUUUUUAUGAUUCUCAACAAGAUCGAUUUAGUGUUGAUUUUGGAUUUGACGACUACAGGAAAAAUGUAGAAAUUUACUACAAUUUCAGUCGAAAAAAAAAAACUCAAUAAGAUACUCUGCAAUGAAUUAAGACCCAUUCACUUCAAAAUCUAAAAACAACUCUACCUGUCUUUCAGUUUGGAUUUGAUAUGAUUUUACCUUAUUUCAGUAAAGUCUUUGUUUUCUGUUAAACAUCAACCAGUUUACUGGAUUUUCUGGUCCGUUACCAGUUUGGAUGUCUUACUAAAGGUGCACAAUCCAGGGGGAUCAACUGACUCUACUUUUCUUCUUUAACUAAGCAACACAGACAUCUUUCACACUGUCUACAAGGAGACAUUGAAGUAAGCUGAAUUUAUACUUAUUAUUACAUAUUUACUUUCAUUGUGUGUUAGUUGUAUUGACACAGAAAGCAUAACCAGGUGGGUGGAGACACAUUGAGGAGCAACUUAGAGAUGUAAGUGUGGAAUAAGUGGGUCAGGAGAUACAGGGUUAUUCAGUUACACUGUCGGUGUUUCUGCCUGAGUUGAAGGUCAGAUCAUGUAUAAACACAGAGGAGGGUGUGUGGGAACAAAACAUUCCUCUGAUAUGCCACAAAAGAUAUGAAUUAUGCACAUGUUUUACUUGCAUCAAGCAGGUUGUUUUAGGUUUGUAAUAAUUGCAUUUCUAAACCUGUGUAAUCAGUUGCGGAUUUAAGAGAUUUUGGUCACAAAGUGUCUGGUUUGUUGGUGCCUCACCUGCAAGGUGCACCCAAAGACUCCAAGCAUAAGCAUAGCAACGCACAGGUACUCUGAGAAAACAUCCCACCACGGCUUCAGGACACGAUACUUAGAGUUCUGCUCUACACCAAAGUUUUUGAAUUCACCCACUGGGAUCAUCCUGGCAGCUGCUCCUCACUGGGGAAAGAAUAUAGUGAAUGUGAACACUGAGACUAACGUUGGCUUUCCACACAGUUCAGUCUCUGAAGAACAUCUUGUCAAAGGCUUUAAAAGUGAUGUGACAAAAAAAGACACAUGAUGUACGAAUACAGAAUAAAAUAAUAUUUGGUUUCAUCAUA